UACGAAGGGGGCUAGCGUUGUUCGGAAUCACUGGGCGUAAAGGGCGCGUAGGCGGCCGAUCAAGUCGGGGGUGAAAGCCUGUGGCUCAACCACAGAAUGGCCUUCGAUACUGGUUGGCUCGAGACCGGAAGAGGCGAGUGGAAUUCCCGGUGUAGCGGUGAAAUGCGCAGAUAUCGGGAGGAACACCAAUGGCGAAGGCAGCUCGCUGGGACGGUACUGACGCUGAGACGCGAAAGCGUGGGGAGCAAACAGG
Molecule: ribosomal RNA, 253 nt
Filed under: uncultured bacterium
Lineage: Bacteria
Description: partial 16S ribosomal RNA
Rfam family: Bacterial small subunit ribosomal RNA
Source: RNAcentral